GGGGAUUUGGCUCAGUGGUAGAGCGCUUGCCUAGCAAGCGAAAGGCCCUGGGUUCGAUCCCCAGCUCCG
Molecule: transfer RNA, 69 nt
Filed under: Rattus norvegicus (Norway rat)
Lineage: Eukaryota; Metazoa; Chordata; Mammalia; Rodentia; Muridae
Rfam family: tRNA
About the family: Transfer RNA (tRNA) molecules are approximately 80 nucleotides in length. Their secondary structure includes four short double-helical elements and three loops (D, anti-codon, and T loops).
Source: Rfam by way of RNAcentral